This 492-nucleotide ribosomal RNA is filed under the name uncultured bacterium. Its description in RNAcentral is "partial 16S ribosomal RNA". It matches the Rfam family "Bacterial small subunit ribosomal RNA", at positions 28 to 507 of the family's 1533-position model. The record is from RNAcentral.
GAUGAACGCUAGCUACAGGCUUAACACAUGCAAGUCGAGGGGAAACGGCAUUGAGUGCUUGCACUCUUUGGACGUCGACCGGCGCACGGGUGAGUAACGCGUAUCCAACCUUCCCAUUACUGUGGGAUAACCUGCCGAAAGGCAGACUAAUACCGCAUAGUCUUCGAUGACGGCAUCAGAUUUGAAGUGAAGAUUUAUCGGUAAUGGAUGGGGAUGCGUCUGAUUAGCUUGUUGGCGGGGUAACGGCCCACCAAGGCGACGAUCAGUAGGGGUUCUGAGAGGAAGGUCCCCCACAUUGGAACUGAGACACGGUCCAAACUCCUACGGGAGGCAGCAGUGAGGAAUAUUGGUCAAUGGACGGAAGUCUGAACCAGCCAAGUAGCGUGCAGGAUGACGGCCCUAUGGGUUGUAAACUGCUUUUGUAUGGGGAUAAAGUUAGGGACGUGUCCCUAUUUGCAGGUACCAUACGAAUAAGGACCGGCUAAUUCCGUG